RNAcentral lists this transfer RNA (71 nucleotides) under Cordylochernes scorpioides. RNAcentral describes it as "tRNA-Gly". Lineage: Eukaryota; Metazoa; Arthropoda; Arachnida; Pseudoscorpiones; Chernetidae. The record is from RNAcentral.
UGCAUCGGCCGGGAAUCAAACCCGGGCCGCCCGCGUGGCAGACAAGCAUUUUACCACUGAACCAUUGAUGC